GACGAACGCUGGCGGCGUGCCUAACACAUGCAAGUCGAACGGAACUGUUUUGAAAGCUUUCUUCGGAAUGAAUUUGAUUUAGUUUAGUGGCGGACGGGUGAGUAACGCGUGAGUAACCUGCCUUCAAGAGGGGAAUAACAUUCUGAAAAGAAUGCUAAUACCGCAUGACAUAUCGGAACCACAUGGUUUUGAUAUCAAAGAUUUUAUCGCUUGAAGAUGGACUCGCGUCCGAUUAGUUAGUUGGUGAGGUAACGGCUCACCAAGACCGCGAUCGGUAGCCGGACUGAGAGGUUGAACGGCCACAUUGGGACUGAGACACGGCCCAGACUCCUACGGGAGGCAGCAGUGGGGGAUAUUGCGCAAUGGGGGCAACCCUGACGCAGCAACGCCGCGUGAAGGAUGAAGGUUUUCGGAUUGUAAACUUCUUUUAUUAAGGACGAAAAAUGACGGUACUGAAUGAAUAAGCUCCGGCUAACUACGU
Molecule: ribosomal RNA, 481 nt
Filed under: uncultured bacterium
Lineage: Bacteria
Description: partial 16S ribosomal RNA
Rfam family: Bacterial small subunit ribosomal RNA
Source: RNAcentral